Molecule: ribosomal RNA, 255 nt
Filed under: uncultured bacterium
Lineage: Bacteria
Description: partial 16S ribosomal RNA
Rfam family: Bacterial small subunit ribosomal RNA
Source: RNAcentral
UACAUGGGGUGCAAACGUUGCUCGGAAUUAUUGGGCGUAAAGCGCACGUAGGCGGUUCGUUAAGUCGGAUGUGAAAGCCCUCGGCUCAACUGAGGAAGUGCACCCGAAACUGGCGAGCUUGAGUACGAAAGAGGAUCGCGGAAUUCCCGGUGUAGAGGUGAAAUUCGUAGAUAUCGGGGAGGAACACCGGUGGCGAAGGCGGGUCUCUGGGCAGUAACUGACGCUGAGGAGCGAAAAGCGUGGGGAGCGAACAGG